Molecule: long non-coding RNA, 653 nt
Organism: Mustela lutreola (European mink)
Lineage: Eukaryota; Metazoa; Chordata; Mammalia; Carnivora; Mustelidae
Exons: 3
Source: RefSeq, a predicted model, not a curated record
UUGGUAGUCGCGGGGCUCGAGGCAGAGACCGUGGGAUUGGGCCUCAGGCUCUGCGCUGUGGUGUGGGCCGCACUGCCCAGAAGACUAGGGCAGUGGCUGAGGACCCCCUUAUGUCAGGUGGCCGCGGUAGCGGUGAGGCUUUUCUUAGAGGCCCCUAGGCGUGGAGCCCUGCGGGGUAAUAUCAACUCUCUAGAACCUUAGCAAAGAAAUAAAGUGAGGAGGAAGCCUCUGAAAGCAAAAUGAUACAGUUUUCACAGACUCUUAUCAUAGUCACCACCAUCUACCUGGUCACCCAGAAUAGAAACCUGAUUCUCUGGGACAUAGGAAUAAAUGCCUUCUCUCAAUGGACUCAUGCUAGGAUCCAGCAAAAUACUUAGCCUCUUGGAGCUUCAAAGUCUUUGCUCAUAAAAUGAGAGACUUGUGCUUAAGGACUUCCUCCACAAGUCCUUCCAGCUCACAUAUCACAUCAUUCUCUGAAACAUCACUGAUGACUGCAAUCAGAACAUCAAAUUGGACUUGGUGAAACUUCUGUUAGUGAGACCACACUGGAUUUCUAAAACUUGAUGACCAGAGAUUGAAAACAAAUAAAUAAAGAAGGUGUAGGGAUGCAUCCCAUUAUGUUGGAUAGAAGGGAUUGGGAUGUGAAAAUACCA